GAGUUUGAUCAUGGCUCAGGACGAACGCUGGCGGCGUGCCUAACACAUGCAAGUCGAGCGGAGUCUGCGAGAGGAAGUUUUCGGAUGGAAUUUUGCAGAUUUAGCGGCGGACGGGUGAGUAACGCGUGAGCGACCAACCUUGCACGGGGGGAUAACGGACCGAAAGGUUCACUAAUACCGCAUGAGACCACGGUGUUGCAUGACACAGGGGUCAAAGGAGGAAUCCGGUGCAAGACGGGCUCGCGUCCGAUUAGGUAGUUGGUGCGGUAACGGCGCACCAAGCCUGUGAUCGGUAGCCGACCUGAGAGGGUGAUCGGCCACAUUGGAACUGAGAGACGGUCCAAACUCCUACGGGAGGCAGCAGUGGGGAAUAUUGGGCAAUGGGGGGAACCCUGACCCAGCAACGCCGCGUGAAGGAAGAAGGUUUUCGGAUUGUAAACUUCUGUCCUUGGUGAAGAGGAAGAGACGGUAGCCAAGGAGGAAGCCCCGGCUAACUACGUGCCAGCAGCCGCGGUAC
Molecule: ribosomal RNA, 517 nt
Filed under: uncultured bacterium
Lineage: Bacteria
Description: bacterial SSU rRNA
Rfam family: Bacterial small subunit ribosomal RNA
Source: RNAcentral